AAUCAACGCUGGCGGCGUGCCUAACACAUGCAAGUCGCACGAGAAAAUCCCCGCAAGGGGAUGAGUACAGUGGCGUACGGGUGAGUAACACGUGACUAACCUACCCUAAAGUGGGGGAUAACCUCGGGAAACCGGGGCUAAUACCGCAUACUCUCGCGAGGUGAAGAUCCUUGUGAGCAAAGCCGAAAGGCGCUUAUGGAGGGGGUCGCGGCUGAUUAGCUAGUUGGCGGGGUAAUGGCCCACCAAGGCAAUGAUCAGUAUCCGGCCUGAGAGGGCGCACGGACACACUGGAACUGAAACACGGUCCAGACUCCUACGGGAGGCAGCAGUGGGGAAUUUUGCGCAAUGGGGGAAACCCUGACGCAGCAACGCCGCGUGGAGGAUGAAGUCCCUUGGGACGUAAACUCCUUUCGAUCGGGACGAUUAUGACGGUACCGGAAGAAG
This 444-nucleotide ribosomal RNA is filed under the name uncultured bacterium. RNAcentral describes it as "bacterial SSU rRNA". It matches the Rfam family "Bacterial small subunit ribosomal RNA", at positions 32 to 487 of the family's 1533-position model. The record is from RNAcentral.